GGCGCUGUAGCUCAGUGGUAGAGCGCGCUCGUUGGGAAGUGACCAACCUGACUAACGCAGAUUCGAUCCCUGAUCGGAGCGUUA
This is a non-coding RNA of Halocaridina rubra (Hawaiian volcano shrimp), 84 nucleotides long. Lineage: Eukaryota; Metazoa; Arthropoda; Malacostraca; Decapoda; Atyidae. The record is from the annotation of a GenBank genome assembly.